Molecule: ribosomal RNA, 301 nt
Filed under: uncultured bacterium
Lineage: Bacteria
Description: partial 16S ribosomal RNA
Rfam family: Bacterial small subunit ribosomal RNA
Source: RNAcentral
CAGCAGCCGCGGGAAUACGUAGGGUGCAAGCGUUAAUCGGAAUUACUGGGCGUAAAGCGUGCGCAGGCGGUUAUAUAAGACAGAUGUGAAAUCCCCGGGCUCAACCUGGGUACUGCAUUUGUGACUGUAUAGCUAGAGUACGGCAGAGGGGGAUGGAAUUCCGCGUGUAGCAGUGAAAUGCGUAGAUAUGCGGAGGAACACCGAUGGCGAAGGCAAUCCCCUGGGCCUGUACUGACGCUCAUGCACGAAAGCGUGGGGAGCAAACAGGAUUAGAUACCCCAGUAGUCCCUGUCUCUUAUAC